Molecule: long non-coding RNA, 1254 nt
Filed under: Linum usitatissimum (flax)
Lineage: Eukaryota; Viridiplantae; Streptophyta; Magnoliopsida; Malpighiales; Linaceae
Description: long non-coding RNA (LUSI_LNC002240)
Source: RNAcentral
CCAUCAGCAGAAGUUGCUGCUGUUGUUGCUGCUGAAUUUGCUGGUUUCGAAUUUCUCCCACAUCCUCCUCCUGCUGCUGCUGGUUCUGGAGAUUGGUGAUGGCUGAAAGCUGGGGUCAUGUCAUUGGUAAAGUAAGCAACGGAAAACGAAGAUAGUGAAAAGAAUCAUUAUUUUACUUUAUUUGUUAGAGGUGGCUUUUUUUAAUAGAGUAGUUACCUCGUAUUCGUUCCUAUAUAAAGGAAGAUAUCUUACCUCGUUCUCCAUCAUCAGAUUUUCUGGUGGGGGAGGUACUUCCUGCAAUGUGCAAAAAAGGAUCAUUUUCACGUCGGUAAAUAGAAGCCCCAAGCAAGUGCAUCAACGUUACUACUUUAUCAAGCAACAAGGUAUAGAUAGCACUUUUGAGGUAUGUCAUUUGCUUUCUGGUUUUGAUUCGGGAAAUAGGCUGGUAUAACUUUUCAUUGAAUACUAUCAACCUUUUCUACCUUUUAGCAUUGAAAUAGCAACUUAGGCACAACAUGCAAGCGAAUAACUUCAGUAGUUCAGAGUACUAUUUCGAAGAGCUCUAGUACACCCGUACUGCAAUUUCACUUGUUUUUUCCUGCUUCUUUACUUUUCAUAAUCAAUGCAACAGUAUUAGCCUACGCAGAAAGAUAACCCCAAAUCAUGUCUCUCUCUUGUUUCAUUCCUUACCUUACAUCCAUGGAGUAGGAUUAGUAAAGCCACUAAAAAUCCUUACCCCACGUAUUUCCCCUCCCCACACACACAAUAACUAAGGUAACAUCCUAAAGGAAAAAGGCUUGAGCCCCCUUCUCUUUUCCAGUCCAUUCACAGAUUAGGUUCCAGGCAGGCUGCCUGACUAGUUUUUCCUGCGAACACAUCUUUGAACCUAGGCACUCACUAAAUUUAGUAAUUGGCGGAUUCAGCAACGAUAGACCAACACUACAUGCAAGCAUUUACAUGGGGCUGGCUCAAAAUCAACUGCUGCUGAGCAGCACUGCAGCAGUACAUCCUUUUUCUGGGAAAUAAGCAACACGCUUCACACAGAGGGGCCUAUCAUAUUAAACUUGGUUUUAUCACUACAGACUCCUCCUAUCUCAUGUCAAUUGCCAAUUUCCAUCUUUCAUGGGAACAACCAAGACAAAAAGACUGGCAAGUAUGUCUCCUGGAGCAGACGAGAGGCAAUCACUUCGAUAAUCAUGAAAAUCAAAGCAAAACAGCUCAUAUACCUGCUGCUGGUAAAGGGUCGUGACAGCU